UGUGGAUUUGUUUCAUUCAACAAAAUGGAAGGGUCCCCUGAGACAUGGGCAAAGACAUCUACUGGGUUGUGCAUCCCUCUUUAGGGAGACCCCUGGACAUCCUCCAGCCAGGCCCCCUCCCAAAGGACAAAGACUCCAGGACAGCUCCAAACAGGCCAUGACAGUGAGCAAUGUAUAUACACGGAGUCUGGGAUCUAUGCCAUAUCAACACUGGUUUCUAGGGCCUGUGCUGGCAUCUUCUCUAGCAAUAGAACAUGGCUAAGACAGAGUCUCUGUCUAAGAAAUGAGAGGAGGAAAUCUAUACAGGAAGGAAAGGACUGAGCCCUGUAGCAUCCCAGCAUCCUGAGCUCAGAAUGAAGACGAAACAUCAUCAGAGGAGCCUGAGCUGGAGGGAUGAGAAAAACUAGGCCUUCAAGAACGAAGCAGUCAUUCUGUGGGAGGCUGCUCAUGGGUUGGCUGAGAGGCUGAGGUGAAGAAGGCCCAAGCAGGAGGACCUGAGUUCAGUCCCAGCAUCCACAUAAAAGCUAUAUCUGUGCAUCUCAGGGGCGUUUGUAAACCAAACUCUGGAGGGGCAAAGCCAAGAGGAUAUUUGGAUGCUUCCUGGCCAGCCAGACUAGCUGAGUCAGUGAGCUGAAUCGGAGCAGUGAGCGAUCCUGCCUCAAGAGGAAGAUGAAGAAUGACUUAGGAGGUACUGACAUUGACCCCUGGACUCUCCAGGCAUGUACACAGGUGCAAUGCACCUGCAUCUACAAGUGUACCCAUGCAUUAAAUUAGAAACAACCGAUUAGAUGUUUAACUAUUGCAAUCUGUGGACUCCGAUGCCCUUACCAACUGCAGUUUUUAGUGAAACACUGAGAAUGGAAUUCUAUCUAGAAAAAUGUGGACUUUCUACAUCUUGUCAUGCUGGAUCCUGAAAGAGCACAGUGGCCUUACCAAGGUGAGGCAGGAAUAGAUUUUCAACCCUGCAGUAGAUGAUACUCGUGGGGUUCACACUGUGGAAGGAGAGGCUGAGGAGAGAGAAGACCCAUGGAGCUCAAAGGGUGAGAGUUUCCAUUAAUCAAUGACUGAGAGCCGGUUCUUCCUGGGUGGAGUGGGGAGCUCCCAGUCUUUUCAGAGAGUGACUUCUCUCACCAAGAGGACUGAAUGCUUGGGC
This 1153-nucleotide long non-coding RNA is filed under the name Mus spicilegus (steppe mouse). RNAcentral's name for it is "lncRNA (ENSMSIG00000026765.1)". The record is from RNAcentral. Lineage: Eukaryota; Metazoa; Chordata; Mammalia; Rodentia; Muridae.